RNAcentral lists this ribosomal RNA (465 nucleotides) under uncultured bacterium. RNAcentral's name for it is "partial 16S ribosomal RNA". It matches the Rfam family "Bacterial small subunit ribosomal RNA", at positions 28 to 506 of the family's 1533-position model. The record is from RNAcentral.
GAUGAACGCUGGCGGCGUGCUUAACACAUGCAAGUCGAACGAUGAAGCCCAGCUUGCUGGGUGGAUUAGUGGCGAACGGGUGAGUAACACGUGAGUAACCUGCCCUUGACUCUGGGAUAAGCCUGGGAAACUGGGUCUAAUACUGGAUAUGACUUCUCAUCGCAUGGUGGGGGGUGGAAAGAUUUAUUGGUCUUGGAUGGACUCGCGGCCUAUCAGCUUGUUGGUGAGGUAAUGGCUCACCAAGGCGACGACGGGUAGCCGGCCUGAGAGGGUGACCGGCCACCCGGGGAAGGAGACACGGCCCAGACCCCGACGGGGGGCAGCAGUGGGGAAUAUUGCACAAGGGGCGAAAGCCUGAUGCAGGGACGCCGGGGGGGGGAGGACGGCCUUCGGGUUGUAAACCUCUUUCAGUAGGGAAGAAGCGGGAGGGGCGGUACCGGCAGAAGAAGCGCCGGCAAACUACGG